This is a long non-coding RNA of Zea mays, 248 nucleotides long. RefSeq lists it as uncharacterized. The record is from RefSeq and is a predicted model, not a curated record. The transcript is spliced from 3 exons. Lineage: Eukaryota; Viridiplantae; Streptophyta; Magnoliopsida; Poales; Poaceae.
GUGAUGCAGGGGGUCUCAUCCAUGUGGUGCCACACUACUGGUUGCCAACGACCGGGAAGGAAGGUGGUGUGGAUGUCGUGCUCGUGUCUUCCUCUACAGGGAUGCUCGGACUCCCCUUCCUCACUGGGCUCCCUGGAUUCGCCAACACGAAGGAGUAAUAGGAGCUAAUAAUAUCCAACCAUCAAUCCAGCAGAAUUUAAUAGGAUAUGAGUUGAUAUCAAAUGCAGAGUUUACAUUUUCACCGUGGA